RNAcentral lists this ribosomal RNA (814 nucleotides) under uncultured bacterium. Its description in RNAcentral is "bacterial SSU rRNA". It matches the Rfam family "Bacterial small subunit ribosomal RNA", at positions 60 to 869 of the family's 1533-position model. The record is from RNAcentral.
AGUCGAGGGGCAGCACGGUAUAGCAAUAUAUGGGUGGCGACCGGCAAACGGGUGCGGAACACGUACACAACCUUCCGGUGAGCGGGGGAUAGCCAGAGAAAUUUGGAUUAAUACCCCAUACUAUAAUGAUCAGGCAUCUGGUUAUUAUCAAAGGCUUCGGCCGCUUAUUGAUGGGUGUGCGUCUGAUUAGGUAGUUGGCGGGGUAGAGGCCCACCAAGCCUACGAUCAGUAGCUGAUGUGAGAGCAUGAUCAGCCACACGGGCACUGAGACACGGGCCCGACUCCUACGGGAGGCAGCAGUAAGGAAUAUUGGACAAUGGACGCAAGUCUGAUCCAGCCAUGCCGCGUGAAGGAUGAAUGCCCUCUGGGUUGUAAACUUCUUUUACAGGGGAAGAAAGUUAUCUUUUUUAGGAUAUUUGACGGUACCCUAUGAAUAAGCACCGGCUAACUCCGUGCCAGCAGCCGCGGUAAUACGGAGGGUGCAAGCGUUAUCCGGAUUCACUGGGUUUAAAGGGUGCGUAGGCGGGUAUGUAAGUCAGUGGUGAAAUACCGGAGCUUAACUUCGGAACUGCCAUUGAUACUAUAUAUCUUGAAUAUUGUGGAGGUAAGCGGAAUAUGUCAUGUAGCGGUGAAAUGCUUAGAGAUGACAUAGAACACCGAUUGCGAAGGCAGCUUACUACGCAAAUAUUGACGCUGAGGCACGAAAGCGUGGGGAUCAAACAGGAUUAGAUACCCUGGUAGUCCACGCCCUAAACGAUGAUUACUCGACAUUAGCGAUACGCAGUUAGUGUCUGAGCGAAAGCAUUAAGUAAUC